AAUGAAAUGAAAAUAAUUAUUGGAAGACCAAAGAAAAAUUUGGCCAGCCUAUGAGGGGAGUGAUUUGCUUGUGUUUUGAUUGAAUUAAUUAUGUUAGGAAGCUAAUUGGGUGAUGGAGUGAUGUUAGUAUGAUUUGAAUUAGUUAAAUAUAACAAUUAGUGUAGUUAGGGUUUGGCACCUAGGGUUUGGGAGACAAAAAUUGGAGAAGUAGUCAAAUGGUGUGUUUGACCUU
Molecule: unclassified non-coding RNA, 232 nt
Filed under: Hevea brasiliensis (rubber tree)
Lineage: Eukaryota; Viridiplantae; Streptophyta; Magnoliopsida; Malpighiales; Euphorbiaceae
Source: RNAcentral